This 301-nucleotide ribosomal RNA is filed under the name uncultured bacterium. RNAcentral's name for it is "partial 16S ribosomal RNA". It matches the Rfam family "Bacterial small subunit ribosomal RNA", at positions 509 to 807 of the family's 1533-position model. The record is from RNAcentral.
CAGCCGCCACGGUAAUACGAACCGUGCGAACGUUAUUCGGAAUUACUGGGCUUAAAGCGCGUGUAGGCGGGCCGCCACGUCGGUUGCUGAAAUCCCCCGGCUCAACCGGGGAAGUGGCAUCGAUACGAGCGGCCUUGAGGGGGGUAGGGGGAUCUGGAACUUCCGGUGGAGCGGUGAAAUGCGUUGAGAUCGGAAGGGACGCCCGUGGCGAAAGCGAGGUCCUGGACCCUUUCUGACGCUGAGACGCGAAAGCCAGGGGAGCGAACGGGAUUAGAUACCCCCGUAGUCCCUGUCUCUUAUU